Long non-coding RNA from Melanaphis sacchari, 2013 nucleotides. RefSeq lists it as uncharacterized. Lineage: Eukaryota; Metazoa; Arthropoda; Insecta; Hemiptera; Aphididae. The record is from RefSeq and is a predicted model, not a curated record. The transcript is spliced from 3 exons.
AUUUUUUUCUCUAAAAAUAUGUUUAGUGAAUUACCAAAAAUGUUGAUCUAAAUGGUAAUAAGAUUAAAUAGUGCAUUUUAGUGUAUAGAAGGACGGACGCUAUGAUUCGAAGAAACUAAUCACUACCACCAUAAGAAUCGCCCUAUAUCUGUGUAUUUUUAGCUAUGUAAUUCAAGAUAUUAAAGUUUAUGGUGAAGAAUUAGUCUACAGUUCUUCGGCCCGGAUUUCGGGCACGAAUAGCGCAGGUUGAAUGAAGGCGAUCGAGACCCGAGGAUAAAUAUCGUUCUCGGAUCCGACAACGAUUAUAAUAUUAAAAACUCUUACGUCAAAAUCGCUGUCCGACUACAUUAUCGCAACUCUGCGUACACGUAUGCGUAAUAUUUAAUACGUAUACACGCGCUCGGGUACAAAAUUAUAGAGGAAACGACGCUCGGAGGAAUGAUUACUGUUUCGCAUCAUCGUGUUCAAUGUAUAAUAUUAUCAUUGAUCAACGACCAUAUUAAUAUAUAACAUUAUAGGAGGUAUACAUACGCAUAGCUGGUACCCAUACAUAAUAUUAUAAUAACAUUAAUAACGUAUGCAAUCAUAGCGCGCCAGGCAGUCGUGUUGACCAGGUAGAUAGUUACGACGUCGACGCACUGCCCUUUUUUUUUUUUUUUUUUCGAAUCCUCGCGUACGGAAUUCUAUGCGUACGAAAAUAAUGAUAUUGAUUAUCGCUCAUACUAUUUUUAAUUGUCGAUGGGCAUUAUUAUUACCUAUAGCGUAUAAUUGUUUUAUGUACCUACUACUACACGUCAUACGACGACUUCGGCUGUGCGUCAGGACCGUGGAGCAGUUUCGAUCCGCGCAACCACCACGUCGUGCCCUGUGGUGUGUGCAACCGAAUUAUGAGUAUUGCGAAACGUACGUCGUAAACACAAUAAUAAUAAUAUGUCUGCGUAUAGUGUUAUUGCGUGAACUGUCAUUAUUUUUUCGUGCGAGCCGGCCGGUUAUUAUGGUAUACCCGUGAUACGGCCACGGCACAUCCGCAUAAUAUCGUAUACCAAGUGGUGUUGUUUCGAUAUAUCAUAUACGACAGAUACCACAACAAUAAUGUGUUAUUACCUAGCCAUAAAUACCUAUUAUUAUUAUGCUUGCAAACAGGAAAAAUUCGUUUUUUGAGCAUUUUUUAUAUGCCAUUAUUAAAUUCUUGCUCACGCUGGAAUUGAAAUAUAAAUAAUACAAUCUACAGUUGCCAGGUACACUGCGCUAUAUAUUAUUCACAGGAUGUAAAAUAUUAUGUAGGUAUAUGUAUAUAUAACAUGACCGCAAAUCUGUUGUCUGUACACUAAUAAUAAUAAUAAUAAUAUGACUAAUACGAAUAUUAUUAUUAUAAUUAUUACGGUUGGCGAUGCGCUGCAGUGUAACAAGUGGUUACUAUGCCGUAAUACUUGUAAAGUUAAUGAAAAUAAUAUACCAACAUCGGAGAACAGUGGUUAAUUUAUUUUUUAUUUUUUACUAAUUGCUUUGUUGCCGUCUAUUUUUUUCACCAUAAGUCGUUAUGUGGUGUCAUUUGGUAUUCCAUCUUAGCUGAUAGUUAUAAAACAAUAUUACGCAAUAUCCAUUAAGGUCCAUGGGCCUCGCGUAUAAAUUAUUAAAUAUCGCUUGCGUACAAGAGACUUGCGAUGGUGAUUCGGGCGACACGUAAUAUAGUAGGUAUACUGUAAAUACGACAGUAAGUACCUAUUGACUAGCAUAUAACUGCGGUUCGUAUAUUCGUUUUGAACUAGAAAUAUUCAUAUCGAAGCGAAUAAAUUAAUUACAAUUACUGAAUUAUGUACAGCAAUCAAACGGUUUGGUAAAAGAGUAUAUAUCUAUUGUUCUUAUAUUCUCAAAUAUAAUUAUUAAAAAUAGGAAAUGCAUAUCUGGAGUAUGUGGUCAGAAAUUCUACUGUACAGAAAGGAAAUGACAUAUUUAUAGACUAUAGUUCAGGGGUCGGAAACUUAACUUUCCUCUUCUCUCACCUAAAAUAUA